CCUACGGGUGGCAGCAGUCGAGAAUCAUUCACAAUGGGGGAAACCCUGAUGGUGCGACGCCGCGUGGGGGAAUGAAGGUCUUCGGAUUGUAAACCCCUGUCAUGUGGGAGCAAAUUAAAAAGAUAGUACCACAAGAGGAAGAGACGGCUAACACUGUGCACGAAGCCGCGGUAAUACAGAGGGCUGAGGCGUUGUGUGGAAACACUGGGCGUAAAGCGUGCGUAGGCUGUGUCGUCAGUCGUGUGUGAAAGGCGCGGGCUCAACCCGCGGACGGCACAUGAUACUGCGAGACUAGAGUGAUGGAGGGGGAACCGGAAUUCUCGGUGUAGCAGUGAAAUGCGUAGAUAUCGGGAGGAACACUCGUGGCGAAGGCGGGUUCCUGGACAUUAACUGACGCUGAGGCACGAAGGCCAGGGGAGCGAAAGGGAUUAGAUACCCGGGUAGUC
This 446-nucleotide ribosomal RNA is filed under the name uncultured bacterium. RNAcentral describes it as "partial 16S ribosomal RNA". It matches the Rfam family "Bacterial small subunit ribosomal RNA", at positions 338 to 795 of the family's 1533-position model. The record is from RNAcentral.